UAUAUUAGGUAUGCCCUGCCCAGUGAUUAUAAUUUAACGGCCGCAGUACUCUGACUGUGCUAAGGUAGCAUAAUAAUUUGUCUUUUAAUUCUAGACUAGAAUAAACGGGUGUUUUAAUGGAAUCUGUCUCAUGUAUUACUAUUUUAACUUUCUUAUAAGGUGAAAAUACCUUACUACUACUANUUAGACGAGAAGACCCUUAGAGUUUAAUUUAUAUUUUGUUGGGGCGACAGAGAAACAAAUAGCNUUUCUUAUUUAUUAAUUUAUAUAUCUAUCUUAUAUAAUAAUAGAUAAACUACCUAAGGGAUAACAGCAUAAUUUUUUUUAAAGAUUAUGACCUCGAUGUUGGAUUAAGGACUUAUACACUAAAAGUUUAAUAANGAUUGUUCUGUUCGAACA
Molecule: ribosomal RNA, 399 nt
Filed under: Hemphillia burringtoni (keeled jumping slug)
Lineage: Eukaryota; Metazoa; Mollusca; Gastropoda; Stylommatophora; Arionidae
Description: partial large subunit ribosomal RNA
Rfam family: Archaeal large subunit ribosomal RNA
Source: RNAcentral